RNAcentral lists this ribosomal RNA (649 nucleotides) under uncultured Actinomycetes bacterium. RNAcentral describes it as "bacterial SSU rRNA". It matches the Rfam family "Bacterial small subunit ribosomal RNA", at positions 229 to 888 of the family's 1533-position model. The record is from RNAcentral. Lineage: Bacteria; Bacillati; Actinomycetota; Actinomycetes.
AUUCGCGGCCUAUCAGCUUGUUGGUGAGGUAAUGGCUCACCAAGGCGACGACGGGUAGCCGGCCUGAGAGGGUGACCGGCCACACUGGGACUGAGACACGGCCCAGACUCCUACGGGAGGCAGCAGUGGGGAAUAUUGCACAAUGGGCGGAAGCCUGAUGCAGCGACGCCGCGUGAGGGAUGACGGCCUUCGGGUUGUAAACCUCUUUCAGUAGGGAAGAAGCGAGAGUGACGGUACCUGCAGAAGAAGCGCCGGCUAACUACGUGCCAGCAGCCGCGGUAAUACGUAGGGCGCAAGCGUUAUCCGGAAUUAUUGGGCGUAAAGAGCUCGUAGGCGGUUUGUCGCGUCUGCCGUGAAAGUCCGGGGCUCAACCCCGGAUCUGCGGUGGGUACGGGCAGACUAGAGUGCUGUAGGGGAGACUGGAAUUCCUGGUGUAGCGGUGAAAUGCGCAGAUAUCAGGAGGAACACCGAUGGCGAAGGCAGGUCUCUGGGCAGUAACUGACGCUGAGGAACGAAAGCAUGGGGAGCGAACAGGAUUAGAUACCCUGGUAGUCCAUGCCGUAAACGUUGGGCACUAGAUGUGGGGGACAUUCCACGUUCUCCGCGUCGUAGCAUUCGCAUUAAGUGCCCCGCCUGGGGAGUACGGAAU